RNAcentral lists this ribosomal RNA (253 nucleotides) under uncultured bacterium. RNAcentral's name for it is "partial 16S ribosomal RNA". It matches the Rfam family "Bacterial small subunit ribosomal RNA", at positions 524 to 776 of the family's 1533-position model. The record is from RNAcentral.
UACGUAGGGUGCAAGCGUUGUCCGGAAUUAUUGGGCGUAAAGAGCUCGUAGGCGGUUUGUUGCGUCGGCUGUGAAAUCCCGAGGCUCAACCUCGGGUCUGCAGUCGAUACGAGCAAACUAGAGUGUUGCAGGGGAGACUGGAAUUCCUGGUGUAGCGGUGAAAUGCGUAGAUAUCUGGAGGAACACCGGUGGCGAAGGCGGCAUCCUGGACCAACACUGACGCUGAGGAGCGAAAGCCAGGGGAGCAAACGGG